RNAcentral lists this unclassified non-coding RNA (1281 nucleotides) under Hevea brasiliensis (rubber tree). The record is from RNAcentral. Lineage: Eukaryota; Viridiplantae; Streptophyta; Magnoliopsida; Malpighiales; Euphorbiaceae.
UAUAUAUAUAUAUAUAUAUAGUUGUAUUUAAAUAUGUUUGAUAGGCACGGAGCCAUAUUUUAUAUACCAGAUAUAUUUUAAUAAGUUUCAUAAUUUCUUUUAGCUAUAAAUUUAAGAGAAACACCAUCAGUUUUUUAUGUUACAUCAAUCUCUACAGGUUAGGGACGGGUGUGAGAAAAACACUUUUCAAUAGCUUUGACAUUAGAAAGAUGGGGCUCCAAUUGCAUUGCUGCUUGAAUCUCAUCCUGCAAGUUAUAUAAGAAAAGCAAAUAAAAACACUAUCAACAUGCUAAAUGGGAAACUACUUCGUGAAUUAAUUUGUUACAUACAUAUUUUUCAAUGGUUUCAGGUUUAAUAAGCUUGUCCUUCUUCUAGUGACUCUCAAAAAAUAUAGUUGCUAAAUCUAGUGGAUUACCAUCUUUGCUUCCAUUUACAAAAAUUAAAAAAUAAAUGUAGCCAUAUUAGUAUUUAUGUUGUCUUUUUUUUUUGUGCCAAUUCAACUUCAUUAACUAUGCUUUUAUUGCCUUACCAAUUCAUAAAUGAGCUCUCUCAUAGGCUUGCUACCAGUACGAGGAGGCAUUAUUAAAUUGACCUUAUUCUUUGAGUUUCCAACACUUGCUUCCUAAAUAUACAAGUCAAAUAAAAAGAAAUCGAAUAUGUUAACUAAUAUAAAACAUUAGAAGAACGAUUAAAACCUAAAUUAACAAAUUGGUAACUAGGAAAUUAAAUUAAACAAAGUCAGAGCUGGAUUUAAUUAUGAAAGGGGCAAAUUCUAGUCCAUUAUCUCAUUAUCAACCAAAUGUAUGAAUUUAAACCAAACAAAGAUCAAAUGCCAUUUUCUGUUGAUGUAAGAAUUAAUAAAGUAAUUAGUCUUUAUGCUUAAAUUAAAAUAUAAUAUAACAUGCUAAUAAAAAAAAUACAUAGUACAAGUUUUUGCUUCAUGCCUAUAUGACUAUAAAUAUCCUUGCAUAAACAAUUUCUUUGAUAUAGCAUCACUACAAAGAUGUGUUCAAUUAAAAGCAGGGGAAAGAGGAGAGGGGGGGAGUCGGCAACCAAAUUGAAUGCAAAACUUAUUAUUAAUCAAAAAGGCCAACGCAGCAAACAAAUGGAAUUCAGCAGCUAUAUGUUUAUGCAAUGCUUGCAGAACAUGAGAUUUUAAUAAAACUUUAGAAGAAAGAAAUUAGCAAGGAUAAUUUAAUAUAAUAUAUACUAGUAACAAAUCCCAAAAAGUUAAUCAAAUAUCCAAAAUAUCUCUUACAACAACCUCUUUUAAAGGAAUUA